Long non-coding RNA from Herpailurus yagouaroundi (jaguarundi), 635 nucleotides. RefSeq lists it as uncharacterized. The transcript has 2 exons. Lineage: Eukaryota; Metazoa; Chordata; Mammalia; Carnivora; Felidae. The record is from RefSeq and is a predicted model, not a curated record.
UUUAGUUACUAUUAUUAACUGCCAACUUGUCACUUUUCUACAGGCUACCUCAAAGUUACUCACAAGCUAUGUACCAAAAGUCCAUUUGUAAGACAGCUGCUGACAUGUCAUUUGUAAUUAUCGCACAGAAACAACCUCUGCAUGGUGGUUCCCAGAACCAAACAUGCCCACUUAAUCCAAAAUGUACGUGGAGGGAGUAUUAACCAUAUUACGAACCUAACUGCUGAGCAGAACAACAUUUCAGCGGGAAAGUGCAUGCGUUGAGAAAAGCCAAGCACGCAGCCUUCUUGGCUUCCAGGAUUCCGGAGGCCAUAGAAAAAGCUUCAUCAGCCCAAGGCAGUACCACGGGAGGGAGGAGGGGAGAAGGGUGGACGAGCAAUUGAGCGCAAACCUCUGAUCACACCACGGCCUGAUCCUUUCUCCCCCUCAUAUCUUCAGAAGGCAGCCAACAGGGAAAGGUCAACAUGAUGGUGGGUUUGGAGUUCACAGAAAAUGAAAGGAAGCUCAUUCGUGUUUCAAGUGAACCUAGACGCCUACACUGCCAGGUAUUCAAGAUGCCAUAUACACCCAGCAUCCAUAUAAUUUUCUGUUUCAACAAAUGAAAAGACUGAGUGGAAAUAAUAAAAUGUAAACUG